UAGGGAAUCUUCCGCAAUGGACGCAAGUCUGACGGAGCAACGCCGCGUGAGUGAAGAAGGAUUUCGGUUCGUAAAACUCUGUUGUUAGAGAAGAACAGCGCAUAGAGUAACUGUUAUGCGUGUGACGGUAUCUAACCAGAAAGCCACGGCUAACUACGUGCCAGCAGCCGCGGUAAUACGUAGGUGGCAAGCGUUAUCCGGAAUUAUUGGGCGUAAAGCGCGCGUAGGCGGUUUUUUAAGUCUGAUGUGAAAGCCCACGGCUCAACCGUGGAGGGUCAGUGGAAACUGGAAAACUUGAGUGCAGAAGAGGAAAGUGGAAUUCCAUGUGUAGCGGUGAAAUGCGCAGAGAUAUGGAGGAACACCAGUGGCGAAGGCGACUUUCUGGUCUGUAACUGACGCUGAUGUGCGAAAGCGUGGGAAUCAAACAGG
RNAcentral lists this ribosomal RNA (429 nucleotides) under Bacteroidota bacterium. Its description in RNAcentral is "Bacteroidetes bacterium partial 16S ribosomal RNA". It matches the Rfam family "Bacterial small subunit ribosomal RNA", at positions 355 to 776 of the family's 1533-position model. The record is from RNAcentral. Lineage: Bacteria; Pseudomonadati; Bacteroidota.